Non-coding RNA from Podarcis lilfordi (Lilford's wall lizard), 4806 nucleotides. Lineage: Eukaryota; Metazoa; Chordata; Lepidosauria; Squamata; Lacertidae. The record is from the annotation of a GenBank genome assembly.
AACCCAGUCAGAUGGGCAGCAUAUCAACAAUAAAGUGUUGUUAUAAAAUUACCUACAAUUCUAAGACUCUUCUGCAAUUUUCUUGUAUUAUGACAGAAUAAUUAUUUCAUUAAUAUCUUUUCCAUUAAAAUAUAGAAUUAUGGAGCAUUCCUCAAGGAUAAUAUGGUGUACUGUAAAGAUCUGAUCGUCAAUGAAAUAUAGAAACUCAUGUGCUUUGGUUUGCAUUUCAAGAUAUAGAUGUAUGUAUAAGUUGGCUAAUACUGUCUUUUAAUGGUGUAUCUAGGCACAUUCUGAAUACAGUGGUACCUCGGUUUAAGAACAGUCCGGUGUAAGAACGAUUUAGUUUACAAAAUCCACAAAACCGGAAAUAGUGUCUCGGUUUGUGAACUUUACCUCGGUCUAAGAACGGAAGCCGAACAGUGGAAGGGCACCGGCGGCAGGAGGCCUGAUUAGGGAAAGCGCACCUCAGUUUAAGAACUGUUUCAGUUUAAGAAUGGACUUACGGAACGGAUUAAGUUCGUAAACCGAGGUACCACUGUAGUAUGGAUAGGACGUAUAUUUCUUUUUACUGCUGGCUGAAAUGACCAGGAUGGUUGCAACAACAAAUAAACUUUGACAGCCAGCUAUAUAGAAUGAGACUUUUUCAUUUUACAUAAUUUGUGCUUGUCUAGAGAUACUGAAGUGGACAAAUAUGAAAAACAAGGGAUCUUGUAAUGUAUUGGGGUGUGUGCAUAAUACAACCCAGUUCCUUGUUUGUCAUCUUUCAUCAAUAGUAUCUAGUACACAAGGAAACAGCAGGUCCAGAAAGGAAUGGGCUAGCAUUCAAAGAAAGCAUCUUUUGUAAACACCCAAGUGUUGAAUACCUGAAAAAUACUGAUCACAGCUGGCACAAAAUCACAGCAACAAAAUGUCUCAUGAUUGCCAUGAGCCUAGUUAAGUAUCGGUUUGCUUUUUGCUGCUUUCAUAAUGUAUUCACAAAUUGGCUUUCCAGAUGAUAUUUUGCAAACCAGUUCUAUAUACAGUUAGGAAACAGGUUUCAUUUUUAAUCUAGGCAGAUCGAUCUUAACUUUGCAGCAGAGCCAGUUAUUUAAAACCACAAUCUCUUUAUAUCCCUCUCAGCACUGAGGGUUCUUUGAAUAUUUAAAGAUAGCGUACCCGCCUGGCACAACUCUGCUAUUUCAGAAUUCUUGUUAACAGAAUCUGAAAAUCUGUUUAAUGUAUGCAGGUACCGUUAACAAGCAAAUUGUGUAGUAGUCAGUAACAUUUAGAUCUAAAUCUGUGGCCAGAUUCCGACACCUACUGAGGUGGAGCAAAUGUCUGUUCCCUUCACCGCGUAGUCUAUAUGGACUAACUGACACACAUCUUUAUCCUUAAAAAAGAAAAAGUGGGAUGAUCACCCAUACAGUGUGUUUGGGCCAAUGUGCAUGGAGUCUGCAUCUAAUACUACGGUGGUACCUCAGGUUACAUACGCUUCAGGUUACAGACUCCGCUAACCCAGAAAUAGUGCUUCAGGUUAAGAACUUUGCUUCAGGAUGAGAACAGAAAUCAUGCUCCGGCGGCAUGGCAGCAGCAGGAGGCCCCAUUAGCUAAAGUGGUGCUUCAGGUUAAGAACAGUUUCAGGUUAAAUGCGGAUCUCCGGAAAGAAUUAAGUACUUAACCCGAGGUACCACUGUACUUUGUGUUGGAUGGACUGCACACCUUCAUCACUACUGUGAGAGUUGCAGAAGCAGUUUGGUUAGUUUCUGAACCAGGCUAUUGAAUAUCACUACCUGAUAAGACUGCACCUCUUUUUCUAUUAUAACCACCACAAAAUCCCCUAUCAAUCAAUGCUUGGGGUUAUGGGUAGUUUUUAUUUUUAAGCUUGUUAUCUCAGGAUUUUGUUUCUCUCCUCCAUUCAGUAAAUAAUUCAGUUGAGUGACCUUUUUAGCAUGGAGUAUGAUUUCUAAAGAUUCCCCCCCCAUUAAGGAAAGCUGGGGGCAGGGAGUCUACCAGUCAGUGCAGUUUGGUGAAAUUAUUUUUGAAAUUCGCAGUAUGCAAAUAAUACACAAGUAGUCAAGGAGACUGCUUCUGUUUCCAUAAAUUCUUCAGCCUCAUUGCAUUUUUAUGUAUAUCUAAUGAUCUUGAGCUACAGAUAUUUGAAGUGUAAUAGCAGCGUUGCACACAACUUAAUUUUGACAGUGCUUAGUCCAAUAUCAGUUUGUCAACAAUGGUUAAAAGCAGGACUUUUUUUCAUCUGGAACUCAGUUCCAGUUCAUCUCAGGUGGACACCAUUGCUAUUAUAAGAGAACAAAGGAGGCGUUCAUUGUGAGUUCCAGCACCUCUUUUUCUAGAAAAAUUGCACUGGAAAGGAAGUCUUAUGGCUCUUUAGAGCAAGAGUGGGGGCGGUGUUGGAUUGCAGCUUCUAUCAUCCCUGACCAUUGGUCAUGCUGGCUGAAGCUGAUAGGAACUGGACUCCCAUCUUCCAUCUUGCAAGCCAUGUGUUUGUGCCUUAAAGACAAUUUUAUUUUGGCAUUAAGCUUGCACAGAUGAGAGUUUAUCCGAUGUUAGAAAUCCCCCCCCCCCCCGGAAUUGCAUGCUUUUCGUGAAGUGGCAUAUGCCAUAAUUAUUUUUCUUAGUCUUUAAGAUGCUACAAGACACUUUGUUGUUUUUGUUGCAGCAGAUUAGCAUGGUUACCCCUUGCCAUAUCUUGAAGAGCAAAAAAGAGGACAAUCCCGAAACCCAGACAUUUCCUUUAAAACAUGAAAAUCCCCCCCAGAUGGGCAUGUUGGCUCCCCCAAAAUAGGACAUGUCCGGGAUUUCCUGGAUGUAUGGCGACCCUACCCCUUUGGAAAUGGUCACAAUUGAAGCAGGCUACAAUGGUUGUUUCUUUCUUUUCAUAUGUUUUAUGUUGCCCAAAAUUGCACCAAUUGCUGCCCUUAUUAAGGCCAAGCUUAAAUUAGUGGUGACAUUCAGCAACUCUGAAGUGGGGUUACUUUUUUUGUUUUGCCCCUGCAAAAAUAGAGUCCCUGAAGCUGCUAUUAGCAUUUAAAGGCAAGCUGAUAUUGGUACUAAUAUUAACUUACGAUGGGAGUGCAUGUUGGGAGUAUAGUGCAAAGCCCCAACACUGGUUAAUACUCUGGUCCUGAUUCUAUUAGACUCAUCAGUCACAGCUGCUGUAAAAGUAUGUGAAAGAUUGAGAUUUAAAAUGCAUGAUUGCCCUGAGCAUUGCUGUGGUGCAUGUAGGGUAGAAUCCUUGUGAAACAGCAAAAUCAAAGCCAACAUAAUUUAGGAUUUGUUGACUGAAUUUAAUAAAAUGGAUCCAGUAAUUACAUAAUUUUAAUAAUGCUUGUUUUUAAAAAUUUUGUUUAGACUCCCGCAGAGUUAAAAAUAUGAACAUCUCAAGGGGGAGGAGGGAGUUAAAAUACCGGUAAUGGUACGUUAGACCUUAUUCUGCCAGCAAGCAAAAGGCUCUUGUUCUGUCCCUUGCAACUGCCAAAUAAUGAAUUUGAACAGAGCUUCUAAGGAAUUAAAAAAUCCUGCAUGAUUUCUCCACUCCCCUUCCUGCAAGUACUCACUGAAAACAGGAACAACAAAAGUCUAAACCAGAAAAACCAGCACCAAAAUUAGGGCAGAAUGCAAAAGGUGAAUGGGCUUCUGUAUACACCAUUGCUUUUUAGGAAAACCACAUUAGCAGCAUGGUGAAGCACAAGGCAAAGGAGUCUGGAAAGUUCUUUCAAUGGGAAAUGCUACCAGGCUAACCCUUGGCUAAAAGCUUUAAGGGCUGGAUAAGGCAGAAGUCAAAUAAGUAUUCUUACGUGAUCAACUAACUAAAAAUGCUUAACUUUUGUGGGUGAUGACACAGAAAAUGGUCCAAGGUCUCAUGAGACAGUUCUUGCUGAAGCUAAUCCAUUCUUUGGACCCCUCACUAAUUCAGAACUGGAAAGCCUGGUGGAGGUGUGCUCAUCUGGCAAUUGGUUUUGCACACUCGGACAUUAUAAGUGCUUUGUUCGUACAGUGACUAAGCAACUCUCAGCCAGUGCUGUCCGGUGCCCACUGAGACCACUACGAUGGAAGAUGGGAAGACCGACAGUAGAUGGAACCUGAGCCAAUGAUGGGCAGAGUCAACAAUUGUAGUUUGGGCCUCAUCAACACUAAGCUUGGGACAACAACAAAAUCCAGUCCAAAACCAGCUUAUAUUCUGGGUUGUAAGUGAUGUUGCAAUGUUUUUUAAAAUUAUUACCACCAGGGCUUUUUUUGAGCUGGAACUCAGUACGUGCAACUUUCACACAUGUGCAAGUGACUAGAAAUACCCUAAAAAGCAAGCAGACAAAACCAAACCCAAAUCAGACCUAGGAAGGUUUUAAUGCUCAUUAGCAACAGAAUGUUGACUUGGGACAGGGAAAUGGGGGGAGGGAUGAUAUGGCCACUUGAAGGUGAACAUUGCUAGAAGUUGGCAGGAACUCUGUGCGGUGUGUUGCUGUCAAGAGGUGUGAAUACGUUCUAGCAUUUUUUUGGUGUGUCUCGGUGACGUGUAAUGCAUAACAUUUGCUACGUUCUGUUCAUUUUGAGUUCUACAUGUAGCCGGUUCUUAACUAUGUUAAAAACUCUGGUUUUAUUUUUUGUUGUUUUAAACCAGCAGGGUAUGGAAGAAAAACACUUGUCUCUCAUUACUCCUGCAAUAAUAGAAGUAGAGGGUGUAUGUAUUUGUGCAAUCAUGCCCAAUCAAAGGGACAUUAUCAGAAUGGUGUUUUAAUUAUCCAGAUGAAAAAAAUGCUGUUAUCUCUUGUGCACCAAACAGUUUAAUAAAGUUCCAGAGAGGUAUUGCGU